RNAcentral lists this ribosomal RNA (753 nucleotides) under uncultured Desulfuromonadaceae bacterium. Its description in RNAcentral is "bacterial SSU rRNA". It matches the Rfam family "Bacterial small subunit ribosomal RNA", at positions 54 to 784 of the family's 1533-position model. Lineage: Bacteria; Pseudomonadati; Thermodesulfobacteriota; Desulfuromonadia; Desulfuromonadales; Desulfuromonadaceae. The record is from RNAcentral.
CAUGCAGUCGUACGUGAAAGCUUCCUUCGGGAAGCAAGUAAAGUGGCGCACGGGUGAGUAACACGUGGAUAAUCUGCCCAGUAAUCAGGGAUAACAUCUCGAAAGAGAUGCUAAUACCUGAUAAGCCCACGAUCUCUUCGGAGAACGAGGGAAAAGGUGGGGACCUUCGGGCCUGCCGUUACUGGAUGAGUCCGCGGCCCAUUAGCUAGUUGGUAGGGUAAUGGCCUACCAAGGCUACGAUGGGUAGCUGGUCUGAGAGGAUGAUCAGCCACACUGGAACUGAGACACGGUCCAGACUCCUACGGGAGGCAGCAGUGGGGAAUUUUGCGCAAUGGGCGGAAGCCUGACGCAGCAAUACCGCGUGAGUGAUGAAGGCUCUCGGGUCGUAAAGCUCUGUCAGAGGGGAAGAACCUCCUGUCGCCUAAUACGCGGCAGGCCUGACGGUACCCUCAGAGGAAGCACCGGCUAACUCCGUGCCAGCAGCCGCGGUAAUACGGAGGGUGCAAACGUUGUUCGGAAUUAUUGGGCGUAAAGAGCAUGUAGGCGGUUGUUUAAGUCUGAUGUGAAAGCCCUGGGCUCAACCCAGGAAGUGCAUUGGAUACUGGACAACUUGAGUACGGGAGAGGAAAGUGGAAUUUCGAGUGUAGGGGUGAAAUCCGUAGAUAUUCGAAGGAACACCAGUGGCGAAGGCGGCUUUCUGGACCGAUACUGACGCUGAGACAUGCAGUCGCAUGCAGUCGCAUGCAGUCGAUA